Molecule: unclassified non-coding RNA, 207 nt
Filed under: Hevea brasiliensis (rubber tree)
Lineage: Eukaryota; Viridiplantae; Streptophyta; Magnoliopsida; Malpighiales; Euphorbiaceae
Source: RNAcentral
GGAAGGUAAUGGAAAAAAAUUGAGAUGCCUCCAAUUAUUUGGAAAUGCAUAGAAGAAAAACUAAGAAAAAAACCCAUACUUCUAGCAGAUGACUUGGCAGUGUUUAACUGACUUGGAAAAAACUCAGGUUUCCUUUGUUGCUGAAGGAACUGCAAAAGAGACAAGAACCAGUAGAAAACAAACAAAACACAGCUUCAAAUAAGAACU